Molecule: ribosomal RNA, 1372 nt
Filed under: uncultured bacterium
Lineage: Bacteria
Description: bacterial SSU rRNA
Rfam family: Bacterial small subunit ribosomal RNA
Source: RNAcentral
GAUGAACGCUGGCGGCGUGCCUAAUACAUGCAAGUCGAGCGAACGGACGAGAAGCUUGCUUCUCUGAUGUUAGCGGCGGACGGGUGAGUAACACGUGGAUAACCUACCUAUAAGACUGGGAUAACUUCGGGAAACCGGAGCUAAUACCGGAUAAUAUUUUGAACCGCAUGGUUCAAAAGUGAAAGACGGUCUUGCUGUCACUUAUAGAUGGAUCCGCGCUGCAUUAGCUAGUUGGUAAGGUAACGGCUUACCAAGGCAACGAUGCAUAGCCGACCUGAGAGGGUGAUCGGCCACACUGGAACUGAGACACGGUCCAGACUCCUACGGGAGGCAGCAGUAGGGAAUCUUCCGCAAUGGGCGAAAGCCUGACGGAGCAACGCCGCGUGAGUGAUGAAGGUCUUCGGAUCGUAAAACUCUGUUAUUAGGGAAGAACAUAUGUGUAAGUAACUGUGCACAUCUUGACGGUACCUAAUCAGAAAGCCACGGCUAACUACGUGCCAGCAGCCGCGGUAAUACGUAGGUGGCAAGCGUUAUCCGGAAUUAUUGGGCGUAAAGCGCGCGUAGGCGGUUUUUUAAGUCUGAUGUGAAAGCCCACGGCUCAACCGUGGAGGGUCAUUGGAAACUGGAAAACUUGAGUGCAGAAGAGGAAAGUGGAAUUCCAUGUGUAGCGGUGAAAUGCGCAGAGAUAUGGAGGAACACCAGUGGCGAAGGCGACUUUCUGGUCUGUAACUGACGCUGAUGUGCGAAAGCGUGGGGAUCAAACAGGAUUAGAUACCCUGGUAGUCCACGCCGUAAACGAUGAGUGCUAAGUGUUAGGGGGUUUCCGCCCCUUAGUGCUGCAGCUAACGCAUUAAGCACUCCGCCUGGGGAGUACGACCGCAAGGUUGAAACUCAAAGGAAUUGACGGGGACCCGCACAAGCGGUGGAGCAUGUGGUUUAAUUCGAAGCAACGCGAAGAACCUUACCAAAUCUUGACAUCCUUUGACAACUCUAGAGAUAGAGCCUUCCUCUUCGGGGGACAAAGUGACAGGUGGUGCAUGGUUGUCGUCAGCUCGUGUCGUGAGAUGUUGGGUUAAGUCCCGCAACGAGCGCAACCCUUAAGCUUAGUUGCCAUCAUUAAGUUGGGCACUCUAAGUUGACUGCCGGUGACAAACCGGAGGAAGGUGGGGAUGACGUCAAAUCAUCAUGCCCCUUAUGAUUUGGGCUACACACGUGCUACAAUGGACAAUACAAAGGGCAGCGAAACCGCGAGGUCAAGCAAAUCCCAUAAAGUUGUUCUCAGUUCGGAUUGUAGUCUGCAACUCGACUACAUGAAGCUGGAAUCGCUAGUAAUCGUAGAUCAGCAUGCUACGGUGAAUACGUUCCCGGGUCU